RNAcentral lists this ribosomal RNA (253 nucleotides) under uncultured bacterium. Its description in RNAcentral is "partial 16S ribosomal RNA". It matches the Rfam family "Bacterial small subunit ribosomal RNA", at positions 524 to 776 of the family's 1533-position model. The record is from RNAcentral.
UACGGAGGGGGCAAGCGUUAUCCGGAAUUAUUGGGCGUAAAGCGUCCGCAGGUGGCUUUCCAAGUCUGCUGUCAAAGCCCGAGGCUCAACCGCGGAACGGCGGUGGAAACUGGAUGGCUUGAGUACGUGAGGGGUAGGGGGAAUUGCCAGUGUAGGGGUGAAAUGCGUAGAUAUUGGGAAGAACACCAGCGGCGAAAGUGGUCUUCUGGGACGUUACUGACACUCAUGGACGAAAGCUAGGGGAGCGAAAGGG